ACAGGCUACCUCCUAGCUGCAAAGGAGUCUGGAAAUAUGAAAGGGUCUGCAAACAUGAACAAGUCACCCUUUUAUCUUUGGCUUCAGUGUAUCAUCUGUGAAAUGAUGAGGUUGGAGAAAAUGAUCUUGAGAGCCAUAGGGUACAGGAGCUGGUUCAUAUCAACUUAUGGGAGCUGACUGUGUACUUCUCAUCCCAACUCUGAGUUCAGCAGUGUCAUGUUGGUGGCCUGAAAUUGGCAUUAGUGAGAGUAUUUUACACCAUGGAAAUUAGCAAAUGCUGCAAAUCAGGGUAUUCCCAUCCACUCCCUCCCUAAGAAGUUUGUUAAACAUUUACCACUGUCUGAGAGGCCUUCCAGUAUUAACAGCCUCUGGAUAUAUCAUUUCAAUUUUAUAAAUCAGAGUUUCAAAGGGCAAUGAGACCUUACUCCAGAGACUUCUAAGCCUCACCCAUUCAUUUUUCUGUUUUAUGUCUCUAGGUUUCUCAUAUCGUCCCCUUCUCCAUUUCCUUCAAUCCUUGCUUUCUGCUUUUUUACCUUCUCCUCACUCUGUCUCAGAGACCAUGUCAUGAAAUUUAGAAACAAGUUUAUUUGUUAUGACUAUACACCAGGCUUUUGUGUUUCUGAUUGUCAAAUGAGAAUCUGUCAAAUGUCUAAUGUGAUAUGCAUUUAAUCUAAAUAUUUAAAAAACAAACACCACUUCUUUCUUUCCACCAUUACACCUGAAGUUGAUUUUUACUUAAGUACAACCCUGAAUUACUUUUCUUCCUAGUGUAUUUUUUUAAUGAUCAAGGAUUACUUUUAAUCAUCUGCUAAUCAACAAUAUGAUUAAGUAUUUUUUCAAUUUUGUCGACAGCACAGAAUUGGAAAUUGACUUACCAAAGGCUUGGUUGCCAUCUCAUCAGAAUCAUUAACAAUUUUUAUUGUGGAGUUUUUAAUUAAACUUUUUAUUCUGAGAUAAUUGUAGAUUCACAUUCAGUCGUAAGAAAUCAUACCAAGAGAUACAGAGUUGUGAGAAUAAUACAAAGUUUACAUUCUGCCAAACUGUGGUACAAUAUCAUAACAAAGAUACUGACACUGAUAUAUCCUAGUGCAUCUAAAAUUUUCAAUCAAAUAUUUAAGGUUCUGUAACAUGGUUUUGGAUAUGAAAGGGAGUGUACCUCCCACAAAGGAAACAAUUAUUAUUAUUCUUUUAUCUUUUAAAAAAUGUUAUUUUAAUUUUUGUGGCUAUAUAGUAGGUAUAUAUAUUUAUGGGGUACAUGAGAUAUUUUGAUAUAAACAUCCAAUGUGUAAUAGUCACAUCAGAGCAAAUGGGGUAUCCAUCAACUCAAUCAUUUAUUCUUUCUUUGUUCCAGAAACAAUCCAAUUAUAUUCUUUUAGUUAUUUUAAAAUGUACAAUAAAUUAUUGACUGUAGUCACCCUAUUCUAUCAAAUGCUAGAUCUUAUUCAUUCUAUCUAACUAUAUUUUUGUUUUUGUCAACCUUCCCCACUUCCCCUUCACCCUCUAACCCUCUACUACCCUUCCUAUCCUCUGGUAAUCAUAUUCUACUGUCUCCAUGAGUUCAAUUGUUUUAGUUUUUAGCUUGCACAAGUAAGAGAGAACAUGCGAAGUUUGUCUUUCUGUGCCUGGCUUAUUUUACUUAACAUAAUGAUCUCCAGUUCCAUCCAUGUUGUUGCAAAUGGUAGGAUCUCAUUCUUUUUAUGGCUGAAUAGUACUUCAUUGUAUAUAUGUACCACAUUGUCUUUAUCCAUUUGUCUGUUGAUGGACACUUCGGUUGAUUCCAAAUCUUGGCUAUUAUGUGUAGCACUGCAGUAAACAUGGGAGUGCAGAAAACUCUUCAAUAUACUGAUUUCCUUUCUUUUGGGUAUAUACUUAACAGUAGGAUUGGUGGAUCAUAUAGUAGUUAUAUUUUUAGUUUUUUGAGGAACCUCCAAACUGUUCUCCAUAGCAGUUGUACUAAUUUACAUUUCUAGCAACAGUGUACAAGGGUUACCAUUUCUCCACAUCCUGGCCAGCAUUUGUUAUUGCCUGUCUUUUGGAUAAAAGCCAUUUUAACUGGUCAUUGUAGUUUUGAUUUGCAUUUCUCUGAUGAUCAGUGAUGUUGAGCACCUUUUCACAUACCUGUUUGCCAUUUGUAUGUCUUCUUUUGAGAAAUGUCUAUUCAGAUUUUUUGCCUUUUUUUUUUUUUUUUUUUUGAGACAGAGUUUCGCUCUUGUUGUCCAGGCCGGAGUGCAAUGAUGUGAUCUCGGCUCACCACAAUCUCCGCCUCCUGGGUUCAAGCGAUUCUCCUGCCUCAGCCUGCCAAGUAGCUGGGAUUACAGGCAUGUGCCACCACGCCCGGCUAAUUUUGUAUUUUUAGUAGAGGUGGGGUUUCUCCAUAUUGGUCAGGCUGGUCUUGAACUCCUGACCUCAGGUGAUCCUCCUAUCUCGGCCUCCCAAUACAGGUGUGAGCUACCGUGUGUGGCCUUUUUGCCCAUUUUUAAAUUGGAUGAUUAGAUUUUUUUCCUGUAGAGUUAUAUGAGCUCCUUAUAUAUUCCAGUUAUAAAUCCCUUGUCAGGUGGAUAGUUAGCAAAUACUUUCUCCUACUCGGUGGGUUGUCUCUUUGUUGAUUGUUUCCUUUGCUUUUUAACUUGAUCCAGUCCCAUUUGUCCAUUUGCGCUUUGGUUGCUAUGCUUGUGGGAAAUUACUCAAGAAACCUUUGCCCAGUCCAGUGUCCUGGAGAGUUUCCCCAGUGUUUUCUUUUAAUAGUUUCAUAGUUUGAGCUCUUAGAUUUAAGUGUUUAAUCCAUCUUGAUUUGAUUUUUCUAUAUGGCAAGAAAUUGUCUAGUUUUAUUCUUCUGCACAUGAAAAUACAGUUUUCCCACACCAAGGAAACAAUUGUUAGGCCCACAGCAGGUGCCAAGGGGUCCAGCCAACUUCCUUCUUCUGUUUAAAUCUGUCCCCAUCUUUUCUCUUCCCAGCAUUCCACAGCUGGGUCUUUUCUUGCUCAAGUUGGAUGAAAAACAAAGUCUAAUAUCUUAUUCCUCAAAGACAUGGUUUUGAGAACUAGCAGCAUGGGUACCACCAGGGAGCUUGUUAAAAAAGCAGAGUCUUGAGUGCCACCCCAGCCCUACUGGAUCAGAAUUCGCAUUGUAACAAGCUCCCAGGUGAUUCUCAAGCACAUUAAAGUUUGAGAAGUUCUGAUUGCAUGUUCUCAGUCAUAUGUGAAAGCUGAAAAAAGAUGAUAUCAUAGAAAUAAAAAGUUAGAACAGAGGAUACUAGUAGCUGUGAAAGGUAGGGGAAGGAGAGAUAGGGAGAGAUUUGUUAAAGGAUACAAAAUUACAGCUAGAUAGGAGGGUAAGUUCUAGGGCUCUAUAUCGCUAUAGGGUGACUAUAAUUAAUAUUAUAUAGUUUAAAAUAGCUAGAAAGACAUUGAACAACCCCAACAGAAAAAAAAGGUGAAUAUUUGAGAUGAUGGAUAUGCAAAUUACCCUGAUCUGAUCACUACACAUUAUUUGUAUGGAAACAUCACUGUGCACCCCAUGAAUAUGUGUAAUUAUUAUUUGUCAAUUUAAAAAAUGAAAGAAAAGAAAGCAAAGAUAAUACAGCCUUUAAAAAGAGAAGUUUUGGUGUAAUAGAUUACUGGGCUAUCUUCUAAGUCAGACGCAUCUUUCUCUUGGGGUUCUCUAAAGAGGUCCACCUCCAAUUCUAAACACCUCCUCAUCACGAGAAUCUAUCACCAGUUCUACGGAGAGAACCACAGAGUCAGUAGACCUAGGUUACCACCGUCUUCUAUCAAGUCUCUCUCCCUCAUUGAGCCCAGGGAAUGUAAGGAUGAGAGAUUUCCCUCCUUAGGACUGAUCCAUAUUCCAGUAAGCCCAGGGUUCCGUCUCUGAAGGGGUGAUUAAGGGAGGAAAUCUGGCAGCCUGUGAGAGUACUCCUUCAUAGCUACCUUGAAGGUGGGAGACAUUGUCUCCAUUCUUGCUUUGUCAUUCAUAAAUUGAUCAAGCUCUCCUAGUCGCAUGAAGCCGUUUCUUCUUCUGGCCUUCCGUUUUUUAACUCUUCUGCAAAGAGAGUGAAUGAGAAUAAAUGUUUGAUGGCUACCUGCUUUGUGUCAAGUGUCAAGGGCUUUACUUAAGUGAUCUCAUUUAAAUCUUGUCUCCCACUGUGUAAGGUAAACCCUAUCACAUCCCUUUUGCAGUCUUGAAUAAAAAAGAGACUUAAAAAAAAAUACUUUGCCAAACAUCAUACCUAAGUGAAAAGAUGUGAUUUUCCUCUGAUUUGAUUUUGAGGUUUCUCUCUGAAGAAUGGCUAUAAAUUCUAGUCCUGUCCUGCUGGGGCUCCAGGGGAGGUAUUUGUGGAUGUUUACAGAAUGCCUUUCAUGGGAUGCUUCUUCCCAGUAGACAGCCUAAUGCCUAAGCGUCCAACCUGUGACCAGGUGUUCCUCUCACAGGAAACUUGUUUUGUACUUGCAGACACCCUUGUACCUCUUGUCUGACGUGUUCAUUUUAUUCCUACCAUGAUAGCCACUCUCUAGGAGAGCCCUGACAUGGAAAGAACUUAGGUUCAGAUUGUGGGUCAGGUGAGACAUAGAGGAGACAGCACAACCAAACAAAUGUAAUAACACAAACAGUUUUAUUACUCGCAGCUCCCAGAGAGAAGAGAGCAGCACACUUUGCAGGGCCAGUGGGAAGACGUGAGCUAUCCAGAGCGUGCAUGCUGAGCCAGCAGGUGGAGAGAAGGAGGGAGGGGGAGGACUUGUUUAUAGGACCCUGGGAUUGACCAUUAGGGUAUUUUUGUGGUCAGCCACUGUGGGAUGUGUUGUGUUCUGAAUCAGUGAAAUGAGGAACAAUAGAGUAUAUCACAAACCACAUAGGGAGGGGAAGUUUUAGGUAAGGCAAAGGGAAUUGGGUCCAACUGUGUUUCAAGUAACUUAUGUCGAGCCUGAAAAUAGAUGCCAAGGCAGCAACUACAUUAAACAAAUUUAUGACAGAAGAUAAUUAUUCUGGGUGGGUAGACCCUGAAAAAAUUAUCCUUCCUUGGAUAAAAUCAAAGAGCACUUCCUCUGACCUUGGUCUUUUUAACUUCUCACCUGAUUACAGCUACUGGGCUUUCGUUAGCAAUCUUGUCCAUGCCCACAGCAUUUGAGGUUAAACUAAGUACUUUCUGCGUUCUGUUUCAUUUAGUCUUCAUAAGAUCCCUGUAAUAUUGCUUUUAUCCCAUUUGUCAGAUGAGGAAAAUGGAAAAUGAGACCUGCCAGAGGAGCGAAAGAAGUUGUUGAAAAUCUCGCAGAAACUAUGUAGGCAAUACCCACUAGGAUGACUAUAAUAACAAAAGACAGAUAGUAAGAAGUUGGAGAAGAUGUGGAGAAAUUAGAACCCUCAUACACAGGUGGCAUGAAUGUAAAAUGGUACAGCCACUUGAGAGAAGUCUGACAGUUCUUCAAAUAGUGAAACAUAGAGUUACCAUAUGACCUAACAAUUCCAGUCCUAGAUACAUACCCCCAAAUGAAAGAAUACUGCCACAAAAACUUGUAUACAAAUGUUUAUAGUUUAUAGAAGUAUUCAUGAUGGUGAUCACAGCAGGAGACAGACAAAUUCCUAGGCAGACAGAGAUGGGUCCUGGUGAAACCCAACCCUCAAGCCAAAGACAGCCUGAAGCCUGAAAACUAAGCCAUUUGCCAAGCUGUGGGUGGCGGGAACAAGCGAGAGCUGCGACAUUUCUUGGGGGCUUGGACCUUGGGACUCCCCACGUGAGAGCUGUAACACCCCUUGGGGCUCCACAAUUGCUGGCAUCUCCAAGUUUUCGGGCACCACUGUGUUCCCCUCAUCUAGACGGCAGAGUCCAAUCCAGAGAUCGCUUGCGGUACACCCAGUCCAGGCGCUGGCUGAGCGUGGAUCCUGCAGCAAGUGUGGGAUCUGGGCCAGGAUGCAAGCGGAGUGCAGCCUGCCAGGCCCAGUGGGCAGAGUGAGCCCAGCAGGCCCAAGCAAGGCCCUAGGCAGUGGUCAUGGCGGCCACAGAGAUUUUCAGCUGGGGAAGGGGCACUCAAGGAAUUCUGUAACACUGUAACCCUCCCUUCCACUCGCUGAGCGAUGGGUGAGAAAAAGCUGCUGGGUGCCAUUUCCUCUCGCUCACUAAACCACAAAAGCUGUAAUAAUAGCCCCAGAUGGAAACAACCCAAAUAUCCAUCAACUGAUGAAUAGCUGAACAAACUGGCAUAUCCAUACAAUAGAAUAUUAUUCAGCCAUCAAAAG
Molecule: long non-coding RNA, 6229 nt
Filed under: Homo sapiens (human)
Lineage: Eukaryota; Metazoa; Chordata; Mammalia; Primates; Hominidae
Description: HSALNT0267411
Source: RNAcentral